This 414-nucleotide long non-coding RNA is filed under the name Homo sapiens (human). RNAcentral's name for it is "long independently transcribed non-coding RNA 1708 (LINC01708)". The record is from RNAcentral. Lineage: Eukaryota; Metazoa; Chordata; Mammalia; Primates; Hominidae.
AGUUAACAGAGAUAUGGCAUGAACAUGUAUUAGAAAAAUGAUUCACACACAAUAGAAAAAAUAAGUAAGACCAGGAUUGGGUGGCUUUGGAGAAUGUAAUUUCAGCUUGAAUAUGAAGAUGCUUGUAGAACAGUGUUCCUUCCUCUGAACAUGGCUACAGAAGAACAAAUCAGUUAGUCUGAAGAUGAAAACAAGAAGCUGAUGGUAGACACAUUCUGAACUGGCUAACACAACACUCUGAAACUGGAGGAUAUCAACUGAUAAGAUAUGAAGUUCUCCCUUAGUUUCAAAUACACUGGGUUCAUAAAUUAUUGACAUAAACAAUAGAUGUCCCAUCAAGCUACCAUGAAGAUAGCUAGGUCUGCACAACUCCUCAAGUGUCGACCCCUCCAAGCACAUCCUCCACCUGGAACU